GGCGCCGCCCGCCAAUGGGAAGGCCGGAGGGCUGCGCGGCGGCGCGCGGACAGCGCUGUAGGCUUGGUUGCACCGCGCGUCCCCCGGGAGGGUCUGGAGGGCGAGGGCGACCGGAGGCUGCGGUGGAGCUCUGCGGAGGGCCGGCUCUGGAGCGACCCUCUUCCAGGCUAGGCCUUUCCAAUCAUCCCGCCUCCUCGCUGUGCUGGGGCGCAGUAAGGUGUUUAUCAUCGCUCCCCUAACUUUGCACCUUAUAUCUGGUCCCUUCAGUUAGGGACAGGCUGGUGGUCCCUUCUAGGGUACAUGGUCUGAGUCACAAAUCCUAUGCAUGCGUUCAUAGCUACAAAUGCAUAGAAGAGGGUGUGUUCUGCCACAUUGCCCCUUUCUCUGUUUUAAAUACACGUCUCAUAAGAACUUGGGCUUUACGUUCAGAAACUAGGUGCACAGAAACAUGGGAGAGUCCCCUGCUCCCUGAAAGCAGUUUUUAAACAAGAAUGGGUUAUUGCUGGCAGGUAUUAAUGAUACACACUGCAGAACAGAAGAGGAAUGCUAUUUUUGCCACAUACUAGCACCGAGCUAUGUGGAAUAUGAGAGCAGAUGUUGGGGUUACCAAGAAAUGGAGAGUAGCGGUAUUAAAAGAAAUAAUUACUAUUUUUCCUGCAAACGGUAUGUCUACUGUGGCAGUGAUGGAUUGCCCUUCCCCAGCAGCCAGAAAUUCUCAAGGCCUAAACAGGGAACCUGUAACAUCAGUGUCACUCGGGAACCAGACAGAAAUACAAGUUCCUGGACACUAUUAAAUCAAAAGUUACGGACCCAGAGAUCUACAUUUCACAAGCCCUUUGGAUAAUUCUGAUGUGUGCUGAUGACGUCUGAGAGCCACUGGCCUGGACUGCCAGUGUGAGAAAGGCUGAUCCUGUGUGAGUCACAGAGCUUCUUCUGAAAGAUUUUUACAGUUUACCAAUCUCGUUCACACUCCCCAGGCCGUGGUAGCCUCGCUUCAGUCCCACUAGUCUGUGGGAUUCAUUGUCUUUAUUUGGAAAGCUGGAUGUUCCUCAGUAAUGAGAGAAGACUCAUGAUCAUCACAUGACCAGAGAAGGUCAGUGAAGCAUAAACCUCGUUGAACUGCUCUAUGAAAGCUGGCAUGGUAAAACGACCUUCUCUUCUCUAUAGAGAAUCCACACACACUUCUGGACAACCAGUUUCCCAAAGGUUAAAAUUCUAGACCUCGGAAUAAAAGAAAAAAGGGGCUAAGGAGACAGCUCAUGUGCUUGUCACACAAACCUGAGGGCACCCACGGAAAAAGCCUGAUGUGAUGAUGGCACAUGCUGAAGAGGCAGAGACAGGAGGAUCCCCGCAGCUUGCUAGCCAGACAGCCUCGCCAGAUCAGUGAGCUCCAGGUUCAGUAAGAGACCCUGUUUCAAAAAGCAAGGUGAAGAGUCCAGUCAACAGUCCCUGUGAAAAUGCCUGUGCUGGUCCCAUGGCUUACGUCAGAAAACUGAAUGAAGCAAGGUGAAUGAGCAAGACGGCUCAGUGGGUAAGGACUCUUGCUGCCAAGCCUGAUGACCCGAGUUCAGUUCCCAGAAUUCACAUGGUGGGAGGAGAGAACCAAUUCCUGUAAAUUGCCCUCUGACCAUUACACAUGUGCCAUGCAUGCAUGCUUGAGUGAACACACACACACACACACACACACACACACACACACACACACACACACACACACACACACACACACCCGUGUGCAGAAAGAUCAAACACCAGUUUUGUUUGGAAAUAACCAGUUGGUGACUUCACAUCAGAAAGCGGAUGUUGAAAACAGCUCCGUAUACUCUGAGUGGUCCUUUCAGGUGUACUAGCAAGAGCUGUUAUCUCACUUAAAUGUAACCACAGUGCUGGACAUUUUGCUGGAAAUGCUGUGAACAUUUUCUUAUUUAAUCCUCCCAGCAGCCCUGAGAGGUAAGAGUUCUCCCUGCUCUCUAGGAGGAAGCAGCUUGUGGGGCUACAGCACCUACCCACCUUUUCCAAAGCCUAGGCCUCAACCAGUCGUGACUGAGUCUGAGACACUUUCAUGGCAAAAGAUUUGACAAUGACUAUUGUUCAACAGUUCAAUAUGUAUUUCUAUGUUUAUUUUGAUUUUGUAAUUUAAUUUUAUUUUCUGUGCAUGUAUGUGAGGGUGUCAGAUCCCCUGGAAAUGGAGUUACAGACAGUUGUGAGGUACCAUGUGGGUGCUGGGAAUUGAACCUGGAUCCUCUGGAAGAGCAGCCAGUGCUCUUAACCACUGAAUCGUCUCUCCAGCCCCCAUAUAUCUGUAUUUAUUAAAGUAUGUAUUUGAAAUACUUACCACUUCAAAGGAUUUCCAUGUUGCUUAUGGAGGAUAAAACAAUAAAAGAUACUUAAAGUCCAGUUGUGGGAAAUGGAGUGCACAUCCAAUGUGCACUAACACAGGAUUACAGAUGCAAUGUCUGUCAGCCUGCUGAAUGGGAGUGAUGUACCAAUGUCUAGAAAAGGGACAGAUUGCUAUGUCUGAUCAAGGACACAGUCAUCCAUCACAAGGGCUAAAAGAUAAGACGUUGCCUAGGACAAUCCUAAUUCCAUUAGGUAGAAACUGCCUACGGUGUCUUGAAAAUAAAAUCACUUAUUGUUUGGGUCUCGUGCAUACUAUCAAGUUUUUGUAGCCUCUUGGUGGUAGAAAUCUUUCUUCUUUGUUUUAAUUCUCUGAGAUUAUAAGACAGUAUUUCUCAAAGCAUGGCCUGUGAACUAGUAGCAUAAACACUUUAGAAUGUAGUUAUAGAUGUAGAUUCCCAGGCUUCAUCCUUUUAUUCUACAGAGUUGGAAUUUCUGGAGAUGGAAUCUGAAAAUCUGCUUUUUAGAGAAGUGACCCAGAUGAUUUUCAUCAUCCUGAAGUUUGAGAAGCAUGAGGAACCUGGGCCCCUUCUCCAUCGAAACACCUCCUCACAGGACUGAGAUUAUGAGAAUGGGGGCAGGCAGGGAGAUGAAACAAAACAUUGAAGAAUCGAUCGAUUCACAUGAGUAUGCUGUUUGUGUGGAGCACUGUGUUCCUCAACUAUGGGUACACAAACAGUUUAACUAUGUUUCAGAAGUCAGGUUUCAGAAUCUUCUAGGCCGGGCGGUGGUGGCGCACACCUUUAAUCCCAGCACUCGGGAUGCAGAGCCAGGCAGAUCUCUGUGAGUUCGAGGCCAGCCUGGGCUACAGAGUGAGUUUCAGGAAAGGUGCAAAGCUACACAGAGAAACCUUGUCUUUAAAAACAAAAACAAACAAAUAAACAAAACCCAGAAUCUUCUAGACAACCUUCACCAUGAUAGUAUUGACUUUUGCUAAGAAACGUGGCACAGUGAGGCACACAUUCGAGGAAGCUGAGACAGGAGAAUUGUGAAUUUGAGGCUAGUUUAUGUAACAUAGUGAAAGUCUAUUAAAAAAAAAGAAAAAUAAUUUUAAAAAGGAAGGAAGUUAGGAAGGAAGGAGAAGGGGUAUUACUAGGUUUUUAUUUAUCUAUCUUUCUCCAUACAGGAGUGACUCAGAGAGUAUGACCCUUUGUAGAUAAAUAAAAUGAAGACAGUGUAUUGGUUACUUUUCUGUUGCUGUGAUAAAACACCACAACCAAGAGAAACUUAAAGAAAAAAUGGUUUAUUUUAGCUUGUGAUUCCAGAGGGAUAGAGUCCAUAAUGGUGGGAGGAAUGGCGACAGGCAGAAGGAGCAGGAAGCUUUCGAUCACAUCUCCAUCCACGCGGGAAGCAGAGAGAGAUCAAGCCGGAAGUGGGAUUCAUCAGAGUUAUAAACCCUCAAAGCCUGCCCCCAGUGAUGUGAUUCUUCCAGUAAAAGCCCCGCUCCUGAAGAUUCCAUAACUUCCCCCAAACAGCACCACCAACUGUGAACCAAGUGUUGAAAACCAUGAGCCUACGGGAGGCAUUUCUCAUUCAACCAACACAGAUGGCGUUUACCGAACUGUCGGGUAAUGUGGUAAAGGAAGGACAUAACCGUUCAUGUUUAUUACUUUUUAAAUUCAUGUGAAUGUGUGCCUGUGUGUUUAUGUACACCAGUCACAUGCAGAUGCCCUCAGAGAAGGGUGACAGAUGCCCUGGAGCUGGAGUUACAGCCAGGUGUGAGCCACCUGAUAGGGAUGCUGGGAACCACCUAGAGUCCUCUGAAAGAGAAGUAUGAGCUCUUACCCACAGAGUGGUCUCUCCAGCACCAGUCUGUAACCAUGGGGGAAAACAAUACCAGUUUACUGACACUGCUGAUGGAAAAUGAAUCACGGCCAAGCUAUGUCCAGGGCUUCUUCUGAAAAUUUUUGGGUCAGUUAUUCUACACAAAACAAAAUAAAAGAACAACAACAAUCACAACAAAACCCCUUUUGGAAAACCUUGUUCUUCCACUUGGCGUAAAAUAAAAAUGAUCUUUGUUGGGGGUUGUACCAAAUUCUCUUUAAUUGAUUGCCCUCUUUCCCCAGGCUCUGCAUCCUCACAGCCAGGGAAGCCACUGAUGAAAUAUUCAGCAUUGGGAUGAUACUUGAUGUAUAAUUAAGUAGGAUGCAUUUAGCAGUUCAAUUUUAUAGAUCUUUAAUCCUCUAGCUAAUAAAUAUUCAUGUAGACAAUUUCAUAAGCAAAAACAAAAUAUUCUUAGAAAUACUAUCCUCUUUGGGGAAAAAAAAAAACAUAAUCCUGAAUGAGCACAGCUAUGAUAGACAGGAAGACAUGACACAGGACAGAGAGCGAGUAACUGCUUUGCUCAUUAUAACAUUUAACCUUCACAAUGUGAUGGAGUAAGGACCAUUGAAGAAAAGAAUUAAAAAUGGCAAACAAGUGUCUUAGAGGAUUUACCAAUAAGUUCUCUUAGAAAAUAGUCACACAGCAGUAGAUUUGCCUGAAGAUGCAUUGCCUCCGACAUACUAAUCAAACUUCUUAGACACCAUGGAAGGUAAGGGCGGCAGAGUAGUACUUCUAAGAUAAUCAGGAUGUAGAUUCACUGAUCAUAUGCUUCUUUAGAGCUCACUCAUUCAGGGCUGCUUGCUCUUGAGGGGCCCCUCAUCUCAUCAGAGGAAGAAGCAAAGAGAAAAUAACCUUGGCUGCCAGCUGCUCAGAGAACAAACCUGGCUUGUUUAAUAGAAAGCUGCGUCAAUGUUUCACAGCCCAGAGAGUGUAAUGUGUGGAUAACCCAGACUGCAGUUUCUUUCUGUUUCUGUAAAACCCACCCCAAUUGUUCAGAAAAGGUAAUUUGGGGUGGGAACCUAAAAAGCCACCUACUGAUGAGAGCAUCUGUAUGAUCAUAGUGUUAUAGCUCAACUUAUAUUAGAUUUCCAUUCGUGGCCAGAA
This is a non-coding RNA of Peromyscus maniculatus bairdii (prairie deer mouse), 5325 nucleotides long. NCBI's taxonomy places the organism in Eukaryota, Metazoa, Chordata, Mammalia, Rodentia, Cricetidae. The record is from RefSeq and is a predicted model, not a curated record.